RNAcentral lists this ribosomal RNA (253 nucleotides) under uncultured bacterium. RNAcentral's name for it is "partial 16S ribosomal RNA". It matches the Rfam family "Bacterial small subunit ribosomal RNA", at positions 524 to 776 of the family's 1533-position model. The record is from RNAcentral.
UACGGAGGGUGCAAGCGUUAUCCGGAUUCACUGGGUUUAAAGGGUGCGUAGGUGGGUUGAUAAGUCAGUGGUGAAAUCCCCGAGCUUAACCUGGGAACUGCCAUUGAUACUAUUGAUCUUGAAUACCGUGGAGGUCAGCGGAAUAUGUCAUGUAGCGGUGAAAUGCUUAGAUAUGACAUAGAACACCAAUUGCGAAGGCAGCUGGCUACGCGAAUAUUGACACUGAUGCACGAAAGCGUGGGGAUCAAACAGG